RNAcentral lists this ribosomal RNA (400 nucleotides) under uncultured bacterium. Its description in RNAcentral is "bacterial SSU rRNA". It matches the Rfam family "Bacterial small subunit ribosomal RNA", at positions 359 to 776 of the family's 1533-position model. The record is from RNAcentral.
GAAUCUUGGACAAUGGGGGCAACCCUGAUCCAGCCAUGCCGCGUGAGCGAUGAAGGCCCUAGGGUUGUAAAGCUCUUUCAGCGGGGAAGAUAAUGACGGUACCCGCAGAAGAAGCCCCGGCUAACUCCGUGCCAGCAGCCGCGGUAAUACGGAGGGGGCUAGCGCUGUUCGGAAUUACUGGGCGUAAAGCGCACGUAGGCGGAUUGGUAAGUUGGGGGUGAAAUCCCGGGGCUCAACCCCGGAACUGCCUCCAAAACUCCCAGUCUGGAGUUCGGGAGAGGCGAGUGGAAUUCCGAGUGUAGAGGUGAAAUUCGUAGAUAUUCGGAGGAACACCAGUGGCGAAGGCGGCUCGCUGGUCCGGUACUGACGCUGAGGUGCGAAAGCGUGGGGAGCAAACAGG